GAUUUGAGGGUAGGGAUAACUUUUUUAGCAGUUUUGAUCUUCUCUGUUUUGAUCUUCUCUUCUUUCUGAUUCUUUAAUUGUUCACCAUCGUUUCAAGUAAACAAAGCUCAUCAUGGUUGAGAUCACUGGCCAAAGUUCCACCAUAGCAGUGGGAAACACAAUUGACUCAUUGCAGGAGAACAAGGCACACCGUUGAUAAAUGUUACAAGUUACAUGGCUAUCCUAACCAGAACACCAAUUGUACUGGACAAUCUUUCAAUCAGAAAGAUACACCAAUACUCAGAAUCAAAGAGAAUCAGUCAACAAUCAAAACCACAAGUUUGCUAAGGGUAAAGGAGUAGUAGCUAAUGUUUUUGCAGAUGAUAUAGGAGUAAUUGAUGAAUCUCCAUAUGCCAAUCUCACUAGUGAACAAUAUAGCCAGCUUAUUAGUCUAUUGCAGCAUUUUCAGUUGGGGAAAAUAGGAGAUGGAAACAAUGUGGAGUUCGAAACUUUGCAGAGCCAACCUUAUGCUCACCUCUGAACACUUCAAGUUGCUGCUCUUUGGUGCAAUCAAGAAGUAUGAUGGAGACGCAAGGUAACCAGGAUCAGUAUCCAGCGCCUCGUUGACCAAGUUUCAGCACUCAGAGUCAGUGGUGAACCUCCUUAAAUUAUGAAGUAUCCUUGUUAUUGCUUUUCAAUCUUUCAUUUAGAAAAUGUUGUGGGAUUUGUCGCAACAUUCAUCAUAGUAUUUUCAGAGGCUCCAUAGACAGAUACUCAGUUAGUUCAGUUGAGUUUUUUUAUUUCAGAUUUUAUAUUUUGAGACUUAAGUGUAAUUUUGACCAAGACACUAAUUUAAGUUAUUUAUGAGAA
Molecule: long non-coding RNA, 849 nt
Organism: Solanum pennellii
Lineage: Eukaryota; Viridiplantae; Streptophyta; Magnoliopsida; Solanales; Solanaceae
Exons: 4
Source: RefSeq, a predicted model, not a curated record